This 275-nucleotide ribosomal RNA is filed under the name uncultured bacterium. Its description in RNAcentral is "partial 16S ribosomal RNA". It matches the Rfam family "Bacterial small subunit ribosomal RNA", at positions 1226 to 1500 of the family's 1533-position model. The record is from RNAcentral.
UACAAUGGCGUAAACAAAGGGGGGCGAAGCCGCGAGGCCGAGCGAAUCCCAAAAAUAACGUCCCAGUUCGGAUUGCAGUCUGCAACCCGACUGCAUGAAGCUGGAAUCGCUAGUAAUCGCGAAUCAGAAUGUCGCGGUGAAUACGUUCCCGGGUCUUGUACACACCGCCCGUCACACCAUGGGAGUUGGUAACACCCGAAGUCAGUAGCCUAACCGCAAGGGGGGCGCUGCCGAAGGUGGGAUUGGUGAUUAGGGUGAAGUCGUAACAAGGUACC